Molecule: ribosomal RNA, 390 nt
Filed under: Triticum aestivum (bread wheat)
Lineage: Eukaryota; Viridiplantae; Streptophyta; Magnoliopsida; Poales; Poaceae
Description: partial small subunit ribosomal RNA
Source: RNAcentral
AUGGAGGCCAAGACGGGGAAUUCCGGCAUGCUGUACCACGAGCUGCAGGUGCGGCAGCUCUGCGGGCUCCAUGCCCUCAACGCGGCGCUGCAGGGGCCGUUCUUCAGCGAGGGGGACCUCCUGGAGAUCGCGGCGGACCUCGACGCCCGCGAGCGGGAGGUGAUGUACCGCGCCGGCGGCGUGGGGGCGGGGGAUUUCCUCGCCGAGGGCCAGGGAUCCCACAACGUCUCCGACAACGGGGACUUCGGCGUUGAGGUUUUGAAGAGGGCACUAGAGCGACCAGUUCUCAACCAGCCGAAGAAGAGAGAAAUAGAUGCGCUCAGCAAGGACACCACCAUGGAGGAACCUGGCUCCAGCAACUCUGAAGGGCCAGUUGAAGAAGGUUGUUAG